Molecule: ribosomal RNA, 478 nt
Filed under: uncultured bacterium
Lineage: Bacteria
Description: SSU rRNA
Rfam family: Bacterial small subunit ribosomal RNA
Source: RNAcentral
AGGACGAACGCUGGCGGCGUGCUUAACACAUGCAAGUCGAACGGAAAGGCCCUUUCGGGGGUACUCGAGUGGCGAACGGGUGAGUAACACGUGGGUGAUCUGCCCUGCACUUUGGGAUAAGCCUGGGAAACUGGGUCUAAUACCGAAUACACCUUGCUGGCUGCAUGGCCUGGUGGGGAAAGCUUUUGCGGUGUGGGAUGGGCCCGCGGCCUAUCAGCUUGUUGGUGGGGUGAUGGCCUACCAAGGCGACGACGGGUAGCCGGCCUGAGAGGGUGUCCGGCCACACUGGGACUGAGAUACGGCCCAGACUCCUACGGGAGGCAGCAGUGGGGAAUAUUGCACAAUGGGCGCAAGCCUGAUGCAGCGACGCCGCGUGAGGGAUGACGGCCUUCGGGUUGUAAACCUCUUUCAGUAUCGACGAAGCGCAAGUGACGGUAGGUACAGAAGAAGCACCGGCCAACUACGUGCCAGCAGCCGC